UGGAGAGUUUGAUCCUGGCUCAGAUUGAACGCUGGCGGCAGGCCUAACACAUGCAAGUCGAGCGGUAACAGGAAUUAGCUUGCUAAUUUGCUGACGAGCGGCGGACGGGUGAGUAAUGCCUAGGGAACUGCCCAGUCGAGGGGGAUAACAGUUGGAAACGACUGCUAAUACCGCAUACGCCCUACGGGGGAAAAGAGGGGACCUUCGGGCCUUCUGCGAUUGGAUGUACCUAGGUGGGAUUAGCUAGUUGGUGAGGUAAUGGCUCACCAAGGCGACGAUCCCUAGCUGUUCUGAGAGGAUGAUCAGCCACACUGGGACUGAGACACGGCCCAGACUCCUACGGGAGGCAGCAGUGGGGAAUAUUGCACAAUGGGCGCAAGCCUGAUGCAGCCAUGCCGCGUGUGUGAAGAAGGCCUUCGGGUUGUAAAGCACUUUCAGCGAGGAGGAAAGCUUAAGCGUUAAUAGCGUUUAGGUGUGACGUUACUCGCAGAAGAAGGACCGGCUAACUUCGUGCCAGCAGCCGCGGUA
RNAcentral lists this ribosomal RNA (528 nucleotides) under Shewanella colwelliana. Its description in RNAcentral is "bacterial SSU rRNA". It matches the Rfam family "Bacterial small subunit ribosomal RNA", at positions 1 to 522 of the family's 1533-position model. Lineage: Bacteria; Pseudomonadati; Pseudomonadota; Gammaproteobacteria; Alteromonadales; Shewanellaceae. RNAcentral also lists the same sequence under 2 other names. The record is from RNAcentral.